RNAcentral lists this ribosomal RNA (206 nucleotides) under uncultured bacterium. Its description in RNAcentral is "partial 16S ribosomal RNA". It matches the Rfam family "Bacterial small subunit ribosomal RNA", at positions 568 to 774 of the family's 1533-position model. The record is from RNAcentral.
GGCACAGACGGUUGAUUAAGUCUGAUGUGAAAGCCCGGAGCUCAACUCCGGAAUGGCAUUGGAAACUGGUUAACUUGAGUGCAGUAGAGGUAAGUGGAACUCCAUGUGUAGCGGUGGAAUGCGUAGAUAUAUGGAAGAACACCAGUGGCGAAGGCGGCUUACUGGACUGUAACUGACGUUGAGGCUCGAAAGUGUGGUAGCAAACA